GGUGAACGCUGGCGGCGUGCCUAAUACAUGCAAGUCGAGCGAACAGACGGUGAGAUUUCUCCUUUAACGGUAGCGACUGACGGAUGAGUGAGACAUAGAUAACCAUCCUAUUUUUCGUGGGGGACUACGUGAAACCGGUUCCGCUACUACAGAAUACAUCCAACGGCUUGAUGCAGUAGUUAUUCAGGCCUUUGCUGUCACUUUUAGCUGGUGUCGGAUUAGCUAGUCGGGAUGGUAAAGGCACACCAAGGCAACGAUACGUAGCUGAUCUGAGAGGAUGAUCGGCCACACUGGAACUGAGACACGGUCCAGACUCCUACGGGAGGCAGCAGUAGGGAAUAUUCGGCAAUGGGCGCAAGCCUGACGGAGCAAUGCCGCGUGAGUGAUGAAGGUCUUCGGAUCGUAAAACUCUGUUAUUGGGGAAGAAAAGAUGCGUAAGUAAACAUGGACGUUUUGACGGUACCUAAUGAGAAAGCAACGGCUAACUACGUG
Molecule: ribosomal RNA, 492 nt
Filed under: uncultured bacterium
Lineage: Bacteria
Description: partial 16S ribosomal RNA
Rfam family: Bacterial small subunit ribosomal RNA
Source: RNAcentral